This 589-nucleotide ribosomal RNA is filed under the name uncultured bacterium. RNAcentral describes it as "bacterial SSU rRNA". It matches the Rfam family "Bacterial small subunit ribosomal RNA", at positions 68 to 638 of the family's 1533-position model. The record is from RNAcentral.
GAGAAGGAGACUUCGGUCUCUGAUUAGAGCGGCGCACGGGUGAGUAACGCGUGGAUGAUCUACCCUUGAGUUCGGGAUAACGGUGCGAAAGCGCCGCUAAUACCGUAUAACAAUCCAUUUCAUCGUGGGUUCAAAGCAGGCCUCUUCAUGAAAGCUUGCGCUUGGGGAUGAGUCCGCGUCCCAUUAGCUUGUUGGCGGGGUAACGGCCCACCAAGGCAACGAUGGGUAGCUGGUCUGAGAGGAUGAUCAGCCACACUGGAACUGAAACACGGUCCAGACUCCUGCGGGAGGCAGCAGUGGGGAAUAUUGCGCAAUGGGGGAAACCCUGACGCAGCGACGUCGUGUGAGGGAAGAAGGCCUUCGGGUCGUAAACCUCUGUCAGAAGGGAAGAACAUCCGGGAGUCGAACAGCCUCCCGGCCUGACGGUACCUUCAGAGGAAGCGCCGGCUAACUCCGUGCCAGCAGCCGCGGUAAUACGGAGGGCGCAAGCGUUAAUCGGAAUCACUGGGCGUAAAGCGUGCGUAGGCUGCUUGAUAAGUCAGACGUGAAAUCCCUCGGCUCAACCGGGGAACUGCGUUUGAUACUGUCG